Molecule: long non-coding RNA, 995 nt
Organism: Alnus glutinosa
Lineage: Eukaryota; Viridiplantae; Streptophyta; Magnoliopsida; Fagales; Betulaceae
Exons: 3
Source: RefSeq, a predicted model, not a curated record
CAAAGUUUAGUCCCUAAUCUAGUAAAAUCGCUCAUUUUGGUCUGGAAAAUUACCGUCCCCUUCCAAUCAGCUCUCAUAAUCAAAAGCUUCUUCCUUUGUUGCCCAGGAUCUAAGUGUCGUGGUGUUUUGGGACUGGAGCGGAGGAGCUACCGCUGGAUUCAUAUUGGGAACCUUAAUGAUGGCUAAUCCAAACACAUCAACAUCGAUAGUCUCUUUAGAAUCCUCUGAAGAAAAGGCCACAGAUAUAGAGGAUUUAAACAUGAACAUGGCUAAACUUUCUUUAAGCCAUCAAAGCCUAAUCACAUAUGGUCCUAUCUCUAUCUUUUGGGACAUUGAGAAUUGCUCUGUUCCUAUAAAUGUCUCCACUGAACUCGUAGCAGUUAAUGUCAGGAAUGCUUUGCGGAGUAACCCUCUAAUUAAAGGAGGAAUUAAAAUGUUUUCUGCCUAUGCAGAUUUUAGAGAAUUCCCCCAGCAACACAGAGAGAACUUUCAGAAAAGUGGUGUCAGACUCGUAUAUAUUCCAAAGGGGAGAAAGAAUGCUCUUGACAAUACUAUAUUGGUGGACAUGUUUGUUUUUGCCCUGGACAACCCCCCACCUUCUUCCAUCAUGUUGAUAUCUAGCAAUGUAAAUUUUUCUGCAGCUCUUCACAUACUUGGUCAACGUGAAUAUAAUAUAAUCCUUGUCACACUAGAAGAUGCUUCAGCUGCCCUCACUAACGCUGCUAAGUUUGUUUGGGACUGGCCUAGUGUGGCUUGUGGGCGAGGCCUCGUUAGCCCCCACCAAGGUUGAAGGAGCAGCUAGCGUAAUGGAGAUGGGUGACGUAAUGGAGCUAGUGGGGAAGGACGAGAAUGGAGGAUAAAAGAAAGGGGAUCCUGGGAAGCUCAACUCUGCAAUAGAGUACUUGAUAUGACUUUUACAAGAAGGAAGAUAGCGUAGAUAGUUAUAAGCUCAAUUUUGUAAUAGACUUGAUUUUUGACUUCUAAUACGGAAGAUA